CACGUAGGCGGACUAUUAAGUCAGGGGUGAAAUCCCGGGGCUCAACCCCGGAACUGCCUUUGAUACUGGUAGUCUUGAGUUCGAGAGAGGUGAGUGGAAUUCCGAGUGUAGAGGUGAAACUCGUAGAUAUUCGGAGGAACACCAGUGGCGAAGGCGGCUCACUGGCUCGAUACUGACGCUGAGGUGCGAAAGCGUGGGGAAGCAAACA
Molecule: ribosomal RNA, 208 nt
Filed under: uncultured bacterium
Lineage: Bacteria
Description: partial 16S ribosomal RNA
Rfam family: Bacterial small subunit ribosomal RNA
Source: RNAcentral